This is a small nucleolar RNA of Callithrix jacchus (white-tufted-ear marmoset), 95 nucleotides long. Its record names the gene U3. It matches the Rfam family "Small nucleolar RNA U3". From Rfam's summary of the family: Small nucleolar RNAs (snoRNAs) are involved in the processing and modification of rRNA in the nucleolus. There are two main classes of snoRNAs: the box C/D class, and the box H/ACA class. NCBI's taxonomy places the organism in Eukaryota, Metazoa, Chordata, Mammalia, Primates, Cebidae. The record is from Ensembl.
AAGACUAUACUUUCAGGGAUCAUUUCUGUAGUUCGUUACUAAAAACUUCUGCCCUGUUUUAAAAAAUCCAGAUCAACUAUUUGUCAUUUCUUGGU